GACGAACGCUGGCGGCGUGCUUAACACAUGCAAGUCGAACGGAAAGGCCCUGCUCUUGUGGGGUGCUCGAGUGGCGAACGGGUGAGUAACACGUGAGUAACCUGCCCUUGACUUUGGGAUAACUUCAGGAAACUGGGGCUAAUACCGGAUAGGAGCUCCUGCUGCAUGGUGGGGGUUGGAAAGUUUCGGCGGUUGGGGAUGGACUCGCGGCUUAUCAGCUUGUUGGUGGGGUAGUGGCUUACCAAGGCUUCGACGGGUAGCCCGCCUGAGAGGGUGAACGGGCACAUUGGGACUGAGAUACGGCCCAGACUCCUACGGGAGGCAGCAGUGGGGAAUAUUGCGCAAUGGGCGGAAGCCUGAUGCAGCAACGCCGCGUGCGGGAUGCCGGCCUUCGGGUUGUAAACCGCUUUCGCAUGUGACGAAGCGUGAGUGACGGUAAUGGGUAAAGAAGCACCGGCUAACUACGUG
This 468-nucleotide ribosomal RNA is filed under the name uncultured bacterium. RNAcentral describes it as "partial 16S ribosomal RNA". It matches the Rfam family "Bacterial small subunit ribosomal RNA", at positions 28 to 507 of the family's 1533-position model. The record is from RNAcentral.